CUGUGCCUGCACUGGCCGACGUUUCUUUCUUGCAUUCCACCGAUUGCUGUCAGUUUGUUGGAUUUUGCGGUUACAACAUGUCUUCGGAGAUACAACCCUACAUUUACGACCCUGAAUCGGACGAGGACGAAGAUUGUGUCGAGCAACAACCACUCGUCAUUUGUACAUGACCGUAUCCCAAUGGUGCACCUGGAACUGAGAAGAAAUGCCAAACAGAAGAGGAACAUGUCUGCUGACAGGAGAUUUCCCAGGUUAUCUUGUCAAGGCGUUGCAAGCAUCUGGCAUACAGAUGUUUCGAAUGUUCGUGCUGGGGCUACUUAGGAAGGAAAGUUCAGUGGUCAUCACAUCCAUCCUGUGUUG
Molecule: long non-coding RNA, 360 nt
Organism: Engraulis encrasicolus (European anchovy)
Lineage: Eukaryota; Metazoa; Chordata; Actinopteri; Clupeiformes; Engraulidae
Exons: 3
Source: RefSeq, a predicted model, not a curated record